GGGCUUGUAGUCUAGCGGCUAUGACAUCGCCUCGACAUGGCGGGAAUCUCCGGUUCGAGUCCGGACAGGCCCA
This 73-nucleotide transfer RNA is filed under the name Candidatus Woesearchaeota archaeon. RNAcentral's name for it is "tRNA-Val". It matches the Rfam family "tRNA". From Rfam's summary of the family: Transfer RNA (tRNA) molecules are approximately 80 nucleotides in length. The record is from RNAcentral. Lineage: Archaea; Nanobdellati; Candidatus Woesearchaeota.